GUGGGGAAUAUUGGACAAUGGGCGAAAGCCUGACGCAGCCAUGUCGCGUGAAUGAUGAAGGUCUUAGGAUUGUAAAAUUCUUUCACCGGGGACGAUAAUGACGGUACCCGGAGAAGAAGCCCCGGCUAACUUCGUGCCAGCAGCCGCGGUAAUACGAAGGGGGCUAGCGUUGCUCGGAAUUACUGGGCGUAAAGGGAGCGUAGGCGGACAGUUUAGUCAGAGGUGAAAGCCCAGGGCUCAACCUUGGAAUUGCCUUUGAUACUGGCUGUCUUGAGUUUGGGAGAGGUGUGUGGAACUCCGAGUGUAGAGGUGAAAUUCGUAGAUAUUCGGAAGAACACCAGUGGCGAAGGCGACACACUGGCCCAAUACUGACGCUGAGGCUCGAAAGCGUGGGGAGCAAACAGGAUUAGAUACCCGAGUAGUCC
This 425-nucleotide ribosomal RNA is filed under the name uncultured bacterium. RNAcentral's name for it is "partial 16S ribosomal RNA". It matches the Rfam family "Bacterial small subunit ribosomal RNA", at positions 354 to 796 of the family's 1533-position model. The record is from RNAcentral.